UACGAAGGGGGCUAGCGUUGCUCGGAAUCACUGGGCGUAAAGCGCACGUAGGCGGCUUUCUAAGUCAGGGGUGAAAUCCUGGAGCUCAACUCCAGAACUGCCUUUGAUACUGGGAAGCUCGAGUCCGGAAGAGGUGAGUGGAACUGCGAGUGUAGAGGUGAAAUUCGUAGAUAUUCGCAAGAACACCAGUGGCGAAAGCGACUCUCUGGACGGCAACUGACGCUGAGGCACGAAAGCGUGGGGAGCAAACAGG
RNAcentral lists this ribosomal RNA (253 nucleotides) under uncultured bacterium. RNAcentral describes it as "partial 16S ribosomal RNA". It matches the Rfam family "Bacterial small subunit ribosomal RNA", at positions 524 to 776 of the family's 1533-position model. The record is from RNAcentral.